UACAGAGGUCUCAAGCGUUGUUCGGAUUCAUUGGGCGUAAAGGGUGCGUAGGCGGCGUGGUAAGUCGGGUGUGAAAUCUCGGAGCUUAACUCCGAAACUGCAUUCGAUACUGCCGUGCUUGAGGACUGGAGAGGAGACUGGAAUUUACGGUGUAGCGGUGAAAUGCGCAGAUAUCAGGAGGAACACCGAUGGCGAAGGCAGGUCUCUGGGCAUUAACUGACGCUGAGGAGCGAAAGCAUGGGGAGCGAACAGG
Molecule: ribosomal RNA, 253 nt
Filed under: uncultured bacterium
Lineage: Bacteria
Description: partial 16S ribosomal RNA
Rfam family: Bacterial small subunit ribosomal RNA
Source: RNAcentral